RNAcentral lists this ribosomal RNA (439 nucleotides) under uncultured bacterium. RNAcentral describes it as "partial 16S ribosomal RNA". It matches the Rfam family "Bacterial small subunit ribosomal RNA", at positions 339 to 795 of the family's 1533-position model. The record is from RNAcentral.
CUACGGGAGGCACCAGUGAGGAAUAUUGCACAAUGGGGGGAACCCUGAUGCAGCAACGCCGCGUGGAGGACGACGCAUUUCGGUGUGUAAACUCCUUUUAUAUGUCAAGAAAAUGACGGUAGCAUAUGAAUAAGCACCGGCUAACUCCGUGCCAGCAGCCGCGGUAAUACGGAGGGUGCAAGCGUUACUCGGAAUCACUGGGCGUAAAGGACGCGUAGGCGGGUUGGAAAGUCAGGUGUGAAAUCCUACAGCUUAACUGGAGAACUGCACUUGAAACUUCUAAUCUAGAGUAUGGGAGGGGGAGAUGGAAUUAGUGGUGUAGGGGUAAAAUCCGUAGAUAUCACUAGGAAUACCUAAAGCGAAGGCGAUCUCCUGGAACAUUACUGACGCUAAGGCGUGAAAGCGUGGGGAGCAAACAGGAUUAGAUACCCUCGUAGUC